UCUUUUUAUUUUAUAAUUUUUUUUAUACCAGGAUAGGCUACUAGAUGGCGGGGUUUCAAUGGUGACCAGGUUCAUUGUACUAAUGCGGGGGGUUUCAUUUUGAAUUUUGUCAGCCAGAUUGAAGGAAACUAGUGGAAGACAGUGAGGGAGGUGCUUGAACCGAGAAAGGAGAGAAUAAUGACAGAGGGAGGGAGAGAGUCGGUAAGGAAACAGACAAAGAGAGAGGGUUAAGUAUUGGAUAGUUCCAGGUAAACCGGACUAAUGGGGGGGUUUCAUUUCGAAUUCUGUCAGCCCGAUUGAAGGAAACAAGUGGAAGACAGUGAGGGAGGUGCUAGAACCGAAAAAGGUGAGAAUAAUGACAAAGGGAGAACGUCGGAGAAAUACAGAGAGAGAGUGAUGAGUAUUGAAUAUGUAGGGUAGUAGAUGCUAACAAAUCACAGAAGCAAAAGAUUCUCAACACAAAGCAAAACCACACAGG
Molecule: long non-coding RNA, 478 nt
Filed under: Prunus persica (peach)
Lineage: Eukaryota; Viridiplantae; Streptophyta; Magnoliopsida; Rosales; Rosaceae
Description: long non-coding RNA (PPER_LNC002570)
Source: RNAcentral